Molecule: long non-coding RNA, 314 nt
Organism: Schistocerca piceifrons (Central American locust)
Lineage: Eukaryota; Metazoa; Arthropoda; Insecta; Orthoptera; Acrididae
Exons: 3
Source: RefSeq, a predicted model, not a curated record
UGAUAGUCGCCAUGUCACUUGUGCAACAUCACUGCAGCUUCGGCGGAGGAGACUCUUGGAAUAAACCGCUGCCACGUCGUUCGCUGUCCUGGGAUAAAGCAGCAGGGUGUAAAUUGGACGCGUACAAGUCGCAGUUUCGGCGGCGGUGUGGCAUGGACCGUUGUGCUGUACAGGCUGCAGUCAUUCGACGCGCAGGUCGGAUUCAGUGUCGAUGACUCCAUCCAUCUGAGUGUCGCAUAUUUUGCAAGGUAUGUACGAAAUGCGCUAUUACCCAAAUAGAUGUAAUGGAAUAAGUACUUCAUUGUAAAACAAUU